Molecule: ribosomal RNA, 253 nt
Filed under: uncultured bacterium
Lineage: Bacteria
Description: partial 16S ribosomal RNA
Rfam family: Bacterial small subunit ribosomal RNA
Source: RNAcentral
UACGAAGGGUGCAAGCGUUACUCGGAAUUACUGGGCGUAAAGCGUGCGUAGGUGGUUCGUUAAGUCUGAUGUGAAAGCCCUGGGCUCAACCUGGGAAUGGCAUUGGAAACUGGCAACCUAGAGUGCGGUAGAGGGUAGUGGAAUUCCCGGUGUAGCAGUGAAAUGCGUAGAGAUCGGGAGGAACAUCCGUGGCGAAGGCGACUACCUGGACCAGCACUGACACUGAGGCACGAAAGCGUGGGGAGCAAACAGG